RNAcentral lists this ribosomal RNA (465 nucleotides) under uncultured bacterium. Its description in RNAcentral is "partial 16S ribosomal RNA". It matches the Rfam family "Bacterial small subunit ribosomal RNA", at positions 28 to 507 of the family's 1533-position model. The record is from RNAcentral.
GACGAACGCUGGCGGCGUGCUUAACACAUGCAAGUCGAACGGAAAGGCCCCUUUGGGGGUACUCGAGUGGCGAACGGGUGAGUAACACGUGAGUAACCUGCCCUUGACUUCGGGAUAACUUCAGGAAACUGGGGCUAAUACCGGAUAGGAAUCCUUGCUGCAUGGUGGGGGUUGGAAAGCUUCGGCGGUUUUGGAUGGACUCGCGGCUUAUCAGCUUGUUGGUGGGGUAGUGGCUUACCAAGGCUUUGACGGGUAGCCGGCCUGAGAGGGCGACCGGCCACAUUGGGACUGAGAUACGGCCCAGACUCCUACGGGAGGCAGCAGUGGGGAAUAUUGCACAAUGGGCGGAAGCCUGAUGCAGCAACGCCGCGUGCGGGAUGACGGCCUUCGGGUUGUAAACCGCUUUCAGCAGGGGCGAAGCUUGUGGUGACGGUACCUGCAGAAGAAGAACCGGCUAACUACGUG